Molecule: ribosomal RNA, 301 nt
Filed under: uncultured bacterium
Lineage: Bacteria
Description: partial 16S ribosomal RNA
Rfam family: Bacterial small subunit ribosomal RNA
Source: RNAcentral
CAGCAGCCGCGGGAAUACGUAGGGUGCGAGCGUUAAUCGGAAUUACUGGGCGUAAAGCGGGCGCAGACGGUUACUUAAGCAGGAUGUGAAAUCCCCGGGCUCAACCUGGGAACUGCGUUCUGAACUGGGUGACUAGAGUGUGUCAGAGGGAGGUAGAAUUCCACGUGUAGCAGUGAAAUGCGUAGAGAUGUGGAGGAAUACCGAUGGCGAAGGCAGCCUCCUGGGAUAACACUGACGUUCAUGCCCGAAAGCGUGGGUAGCAAACAGGAUUAGAUACCCCAGUAGUCCCUGUCUCUUAUAC